RNAcentral lists this ribosomal RNA (494 nucleotides) under uncultured bacterium. RNAcentral describes it as "partial 16S ribosomal RNA". It matches the Rfam family "Bacterial small subunit ribosomal RNA", at positions 28 to 507 of the family's 1533-position model. The record is from RNAcentral.
GACGAACGCUGGCGGCGUGCUUAACACAUGCAAGUCGAACGGAAAGGCCUGCUUUCCCUUGUGGAUUGCGGGUACUCGAGUGGCGAACGGGUGAGUAACACGUGAGUGAUCUGCCCCCAACUUGGGUAUAAGCCUGGGAAACUGGGUCUAAUUCCCGAUAGGACUGCAGGGUGGUGCCUGUGGUGGAAAACGAUUUUCUAGUGGUUGGGGAUGAGCUCGCGGCCUAUCGGCUUGUUGGUGGGGUAAUGGCCUACCAAGGCGGCGACGGGUAGCCGGCCUGGGAGGGUGGACGGCCACAUUGGGACUGAGAUACGGCCCAGACUCCUACGGGAGGCAGCAGUGGGGAAUAGUGCACAAUGGGCGGAAGCCUGAUGCAGCGACGCCGCGUGGGGGAUGACGGCCUUCGGGUUGUAAACUCCUUUCGACCGCGAGGAAGCCACCUGGUUGGAAGGGUGGUGACGGUAGUGGUAGAAGAAGCACCGGCUAACUACGUG